Molecule: ribosomal RNA, 495 nt
Filed under: uncultured bacterium
Lineage: Bacteria
Description: partial 16S ribosomal RNA
Rfam family: Bacterial small subunit ribosomal RNA
Source: RNAcentral
GACGAACGCUGGCGGCGUGCCUAAUACAUGCAAGUAGAACGCUGAAGGAGGAGCUUGCUCUUCUGGAUGAGUUGCGAACGGGUGAGUAACGCGUAGGUAACCUGCCUGGUAGCGGGGGAUAACUAUUGGAAACGAUAGCUAAUACCGCAUAACAUUGACUAUUGCAUGAUAGUCAAUUAAAAGGUGCAAAUGCACCACUACCAGAUGGACCUGCGUUGUAUUAGCUAGUUGGUGGGGUAACGACUCACCAAGGCGACGAUACAUAGCCGACCUGAGAGGGUGAUCGGCCACACUGGGACUGAGACACGGCCCAGACUCCUACGGGAGGCAGCAGUAGGGAAUCUUCGGCAAUGGACGGAAGUCUGACCGAGCAACGCCGCGUGAGUGAAGAAGGGUUUCGGAUCGUAAAGCUCUGUUGUAAGAGAAGAACGAGUGUGAGAGUGGAAAGUUCACACUGUGACGGUAUCUUACCAGAAAGGGACGGCUAACUACGUG